This is a non-coding RNA of Pimephales promelas (fathead minnow), 698 nucleotides long. The record is from RefSeq and is a predicted model, not a curated record. Lineage: Eukaryota; Metazoa; Chordata; Actinopteri; Cypriniformes; Leuciscidae.
CACAAUAAAGUCUCCAUUUACAACCAAGAAUGGCAGUGAAUGGCCGUCUAUCAAGGCGCAUCCAUCCAUGAUAAAAGUAAUCCACCACAUGACUCUGGCGGGGUUAUAAAGCCCUUUUAAAGCGAAGCAUUUGUGCUAUGAGGAAAAACUCUACCGUGCACACAGAGAACAGAGCUCAAUGCUGCUAACUGGGGGAGCAGCUGGACAACUAGAAGAGAGAAUAGUAGAACACUAUUAACACAGAUUCCUGGAUUAUUUUUCUGCAAGAACCACAACAAGCAAAGACUGAUGAUGAGUGCUCUGAGCAAACACCGGAGUCAAGACGCAUUAGUGACUUUACUGAGUUCUUCAUGUAAUGUUGGGCAUUUACUGUACGCAGAACUUCUAAUAAUUUAUGUGGAUGCCAUUUAUAAACCUGUUAGAUUUUGAUGUUUUAGUUUUGAGAUUAAUAAAAUUUUAUGCUUUAACAAUGUUAUAGCUAAUCAUUUUUGAGGGGUUUUAAGAGAACAUUUUGGGAACAAAAAUAAACUUCCGCUAAAAACUUUAUAAGAAAGUUAGGGGAUAAUGUUUUAAAAAUGUUAUGAUUAAACCUUUAUAGAAGGUCAUCACAAAACAUUUUCAGAGUGUUCUUAGAGAAUGUUAUGCCAUCUUUUAAGAGAACAUUCUGGGAACAAAAAGAAAACUACCCGCUGAAAAUG